CAGCAGCCGCGGUAAUACGAAGGGGGCUAGCGUUGUUCGGAUUUACUGGGCGUAAAGCGCACGUAGGCGGACUUUUAAGUCAGGGGUGAAAUCCCGGGGCUCAACCCCGGAACUGCCUUUGAUACUGGAAGUCUUGAGUAUGGUAGAGGUGAGUGGAAUUCCGAGUGUAGAGGUGAAAUUCGUAGAUAUUCGGAGGAACACCAGUGGCGAAGGCGGCUCACUGGACCAUUACUGACGCUGAGGUGCGAAAGCGUGGGGAGCAAACAGGAUUAGAUACCCCAGUAGUCCCUGUCUCUUAUAC
Molecule: ribosomal RNA, 301 nt
Filed under: uncultured bacterium
Lineage: Bacteria
Description: partial 16S ribosomal RNA
Rfam family: Bacterial small subunit ribosomal RNA
Source: RNAcentral